This 285-nucleotide ribosomal RNA is filed under the name Escherichia coli. RNAcentral describes it as "partial 23S ribosomal RNA". It matches the Rfam family "Bacterial large subunit ribosomal RNA", at positions 911 to 1194 of the family's 2925-position model. The record is from RNAcentral. Lineage: Bacteria; Pseudomonadati; Pseudomonadota; Gammaproteobacteria; Enterobacterales; Enterobacteriaceae. RNAcentral also lists the same sequence under 1 other name.
UGUUUCGGCAAGGGGGUCAUCCCGACUUACCAACCCGAUGCAAACUGCGAAUACCGGAGAAUGUUAUCACGGGAGACACACGGCGGGUGCUAACGUCCGUCGUGAAGAGGGAAACAACCCAGACCGCCAGCUAAGGUCCCAAAGUCAUGGUUAAGUGGGAAACGAUGUGGGAAGGCCCAGACAGCCAGGAUGUUGGCUUAGAAGCAGCCAUCAUUUAAAGAAAGCGUAAUAGCUCACUGGUCGAGUCGGCCUGCGCGGAAGAUGUAACGGGGCUAAACCAUGCAC